GCCGCUAUAGCUCAGUUGGUAGAGCGCUUGACUAGUAAUCAAGAGGUCUCGAGUUCAAAUCUCGGUGGUGGCU
This is a non-coding RNA of Gracilariopsis chorda, 73 nucleotides long. Lineage: Eukaryota; Rhodophyta; Florideophyceae; Gracilariales; Gracilariaceae. The record is from the annotation of a GenBank genome assembly.